RNA transcript from Lolium perenne, 2592 nucleotides. It is a transcript of the gene named shewanella-like protein phosphatase 1, with no coding region annotated. NCBI's taxonomy places the organism in Eukaryota, Viridiplantae, Streptophyta, Magnoliopsida, Poales, Poaceae. The record is from RefSeq and is a predicted model, not a curated record.
UCUUCCUGUCAAUGCUACCCUCACCGCCGAUUCCGGCCGCCACCGGCCUCCUCUCCCGCUGCAGUUCACCAACGAGGAUCCAUCGUCCUCCUCUGCCCCUAUUCCCCACCGGAGAGACGCCAUUCUGGCCCCGUGCUCCUUCUCCACUUGCUGAACCGGGUUGCUGUUCCACAUGCCGCUCCCGGCUGAGACGAGCUCGCCGCGGAGGAGGAAAAGAAGGGGGUGGAGCGAAAGGGCCUCGCGGCGGAGCACGAGGCCGGAAUCCAGGGCGGUGGCGCGGCACGCCUAGCAGGGGGGCCGACAGAGUCCGAUCUCGCGGUGGAGGACGGCUUGUCGCGCGCGAUCUCUCGCUUGAGGAUGGUGGGUCGCGCGCGGAGCAACGGGACAGGCGGCGUUCGAGCUCGCCGCCGGGAGGAGGUGUACAUGCGGGUUGUUGUGCGGUCCUCGCGAGGAUGCGGUCGAGUCGACCAACGGGCGCCCGCGCGCCCCCUAGACGAUAUUCAAGACACGACACUCAUCCGCAAAUGACUGGCUGAGAAAAGGAGGAGGACGAGCCGCGGAGUCCUUUCACUCCACAUUUUUUACAGCCUACGUACGUGCACGCCCACCCUCCCUCCACCGUCUCAUCUUCUCACCUGGCCAACCGGCAGCCACGACGUCGCCGGCACCUGCGGCGACAUGGCCGUCCUUCCUUCCAGGCUGCUCACGGCCGCCACCACCGGCCUCAGCUUCUCCACCCCUGUCUGUCCUAGCAGGCAGCACAGAGUCGCCGGCGGUGGCAGGCUCCUAUUCUCUUCGGUUUCCUGCCGUGCGGCGGCGGCAGGGGGACCGAUCACCAUCACUGGUGACCCGCCCACCUUCGUGUCCGCGCCCGGCCGCCGCAUUGUCGCCGUCGGCGACCUCCAUGGUGAUCUUUACCAAACGAGAGCUGCCCUGGUGAUGGCCGGUGUCCUUAGCCCGGAAUCAGAUGCUCACGUAUGGACAGGCGGGCAGACGAUUCUGGUUCAAGUUGGGGACAUCCUUGACCGUGGCGAAGAUGAGAUCGCGAUUCUGUCCCUAUUGAGUUCUCUAAAUGUACAAGCGAAGUCUCAAGGCGGUGCAGUGUUUCAGGUUAACGGAAACCAUGAAACCAUGAAUGUGGAAGGCGAUUUCCGGUACGUCGACCCAGGAUCAUUUGACGAGUGUAUACGCUACCUAGAGUACUUGGAGGAAUUUGAUGGCAACUGGGAUGAUGCUUUCGUCAACUGGGUUAAUGUUUCUCAAAGGUCCAAGGAAGAGUAUCGGGCAUCAUUUAAUGGUGACUGGCUUCCUUUGAACUUUGUCAAGAAACAAAAAGGGUUUGCUGCAAGAGCAUCACUUUUGAAGCAAGGUGGUCCAUUAGCUUGCGAAUUGGCACGACAUCCGGUUAUACUUAAUGUCAAUGACUGGAUAUUUUGUCAUGGCGGCCUUCUUCCUCAUCAUGUUGCAUACGGGAUCGAACGCAUCAAUGCUGAAGUAUCGAAUUGGAUGCGAGGUUCAAGUGAAGAUAGUGAUGAUCCGGAUCUGCCUUUCAUAGCUACUAGAGGCUAUGACAGUGUAGUAUGGACUCGCUUGUACUCCCAAGAUUCAGUCGAGAGGACGCAACGGUCUUGGAAUCUAUCUUCUGUUAUUGCUGAACAAACGCUGAAAUCUGUUGGAGCUAAAGGGAUGGUUGUAGGACACACUCCCCAGAAUCGUGGAGUAAAUUGCAAAUGCGAUGGUAAAGUUUGGUGUGUUGAUGUGGGCAUGUCUUAUGGUGUACUGCAUUCGAGACCAGAGGUCCUAGAAAUAGUUAAUGACAGACCAAGAGUUCUAAAGGAACAGAGGGACUCAUACGAUGAGAUGGAAGUGUUGGACUACUUAUGAAACCUUGAAAAUUUCUGUAUAUAAUAGCAAAAAGAAAAAUCCUAGCUAAAUUACCGUAGAAGAGAGUUCUUGGGCUGACACCUGUAAAACUAAAUGGUAAAGGAGGAUAUACAUCUAAAGAUGCCAACCAGCCUCGCAUAGCGAAAAGCGUCGGCUGUUGCUGAGUUCUUGCACACAGGAAAAGGGAUGGUCAGAGGCUCUAGACUCCAAGUUUGGCGGUGAUUAUGAGAAAAUUUCCAUAUCCUUCUCCAUUCUAUUUGAAGAGAGCUCUAAAAAUUAUGCGAGAAGACAUGAAAUCGAAUAGACAAGAAAAGCUUGUACUCCAUCCGUCCCUAAAAAAGCUGCCCAACUUCUGCAACGGAGAGAGGAGGGAGUACAUCCUUUGGCCCCUCGGGUAACAAUUGUACCAUAACAGAAUUAGUUUUAUUUUCUAUAAUGUAGCAAACUUCUAGAAAACCCAAUUACAGUUACUUUCUAGUCACAGCCGUGAUGCAUGUGACCUUACAUGUAUAGUGAAACAUCAAAGUACAUAAAAAACUUAUAGAUAAUUAUACGUGCAAAAACCUUUGUCUAUAGGUUAGUGCAUAUGUGCAUGAUUUAUUUUUUGCUACAAACCGGUGGGCUUUAUUGUCAGAACUCCAAAUAUGAAGACUCAAUUAAGUUAUGAUCUAAGCAGUAUGAUUGUAAUAAUGUUUUGUUGGCAGACCA